This 1596-nucleotide long non-coding RNA is filed under the name Paramuricea clavata. Lineage: Eukaryota; Metazoa; Cnidaria; Anthozoa; Malacalcyonacea; Plexauridae. The record is from RNAcentral.
CUGUUCCUCGAGUUCCCUCGUCUCCAUAUUUGCUUUCAUCAGUAGAAUUGUCUAUGGUGUAGAACAAUGGCGCCACUGAGAAGUGAGAAUAGCGCCAAUUUUUGGCGCCAAAACCAGUGCUUCCACAGCCCAAUUCUCUUAAAAUUUCAAUAAAAUUUCCCGUAAAUUUCAUAUUUUAAUAUUUUCCAUUUUUCCUGUAAUUUAUAUUAUCGGCCGUUUCGUUUCGGUCGUUUCGUUUCGGCCGUUUCGUUUCGGUCGUUUCGUUUCGGUCGUUUCGGUCGUUUCGUUUCGGUCGUUUCGUUUCGGUGGUUUCGAUGGUUUCGGCCGUUUCGUUUCGGUCGUUUCGUUUCGACGUUUCGCCUUUUAGUACAUGCCCUGAGCUACACACUUCCGUUACAAGUUUUGAUUUUUGAACGUCAAAACCGAUAAGGUUAAUAUCCUGGCUUUGAUUUCUGCAUACAAAAACUUUAAAACAUUGCGUAGAAACGUGACUGAAUGGAUAUUUAAAACGAGUAUCUAUUUCAUGAAAUAAUGGGCCGUGUUUCAUCUUAAUGGAUAAUGGAAAUGGACCGCCCGCCCGCGUGUAAUUUGAAAUAAGGGCCGGACGGGAAACUAAAGUCUAAUUUGGAGUGGCCUUACAUUACAUUUGGUGAUUGGGAAAACACUUAGACUCUUAGUUAAAUAUUUCCGUGUAAUUUAAAUUAAAACUUAAUCGAGAUAAUAUAAGGAAAUACGAAAAAUACAAUGGACUUACCUUUAUGCUUCAAGAACUGUAACAAACCAAUGUAACAUAAUCAGACAGUUUCAGUUGCAAUAUUAAACUACAGUGGACAAUUAGUCUCGCUGCGUGCGUUUAUUUACAACUGUGUUGAGAAAGUUACUUCCGGGUUUAUAACAGCGUAGGUUACAAAUCAAAUAAUAUUUGAUUAAUAUUAAUAUUAUUUUAUCUUGUGAACAAUCUUGGAACUGUUUUUUUCUUUACGUGCUAGACCACGACAUAAUUCGUCGCAGGCACUCUAGAAACGAUUACGCUUACCAUCCUGCAUUCUAACCUUUUUCAGCUGAUUUUCCAUUCAACGACAACGUUUUUAUUUAUAUUUGUAUAGCAUUUGCAUAUCUGCAUGAUUGUGUUUUUCAUAGUGUAAAUUUGAGUUAAUUUAAAAACGCAUGACCGAUAUUUAAGAGUGAAGCGUGUGUUCUCAGUGAAGACUACAGGAAACACAGAAUCGUUUUGAAAAAAAUUUAAGAAAUAAUAUUCACAGUGUCACGCUCCAGUUAAUACGAACCACUCAUGCAAUGGGCAAUUCCAGCUAUAGAUCAUAUAGACUAAAUUUUGAUCUAGGCAAGAAGAACAGAAUCCAUCUAGAAAGAGCAUGUUAAAAUUAGUAAAAUUGCAAAGUUUGGCCGCGAAAUGUUGCAAUAUGAGGAAAAUAAUAGCAAUACGAAAUUUGCAAAUUUUGUAUACCACAUUUGGGCCGAAAGUGGUGCAAUUGACCACUUGCGCAAUAGGCUAAAUUUUGAUCUCAACAAAAAUUUCAUCACAGCUUGAAAGAGCAUCACAAAAUUAGUUAUAUUCCAAAGUUUCGUUGCGCAAUG